CUACGGAGGCUGCAGUGGGGAAUAUUGGACAAUGGGCGAAAGCCUGAUCCAGCCAUGCCGCGUGUGUGAAGAAGGCCUUCGGGUUGUAAAGCACUUUCAGUGGGGAAGAAAGCCUUGGGGCUAAUACCCUCGAGGAAGGACAUCACCCACAGAAGAAGCACCGGCUAACUCCGUGCCAGCAGCCGCGGUAAUACGGAGGGUGUGAGCGUUAAUCGGAAUUACUGGGCGUAAAGCGCGCGUAGGCGGUCUGAUAAGCCGGUUGUGAAAGCCCCGGGCUCAACCUGGGAACGGCAUCCGGAACUGUCAGGCUAGAGUGCAGGAGAGGAAGGUAGAAUUCCCGGUGUAGCGGUGAAAUGCGUAGAGAUCGGGAGGAAUACCAGUGGCGAAGGCGGCCUUCUGGACUGACACUGACGCUGAGGUGCGAAAGCGUGGGUAGCAAACAGGAUUAGAUACCCUAGUAGUC
This 463-nucleotide ribosomal RNA is filed under the name Vreelandella stevensii. RNAcentral describes it as "partial 16S ribosomal RNA". It matches the Rfam family "Bacterial small subunit ribosomal RNA", at positions 339 to 795 of the family's 1533-position model. The record is from RNAcentral. Lineage: Bacteria; Pseudomonadati; Pseudomonadota; Gammaproteobacteria; Oceanospirillales; Halomonadaceae.